This 74-nucleotide transfer RNA is filed under the name soil metagenome. It matches the Rfam family "tRNA". Rfam says of the family: Transfer RNA (tRNA) molecules are approximately 80 nucleotides in length. Their secondary structure includes four short double-helical elements and three loops (D, anti-codon, and T loops). RNAcentral also lists the same sequence under 1 other name. The record is from RNAcentral.
GCCCUUGUAGCCCAAUUGGAAGAGGCGCUAGGUUUAGACCCUAGUCAGUGCUGGUUCAAGCCCAGUCAGGGGUA